ACACCUCAACUCUCAUGGUUUACCAUGAUGAGCUUGGACUUUGGGGGUCUUGCUGGCCUGUGGUCUGCUCCUCUAAAAUGAAUCAGCUUGCCAGUGUCUGGCGGCACCAUGGGUGUGAUAACCAUCUACGCUUGUGGUUUGCCGCUGGGUAACCUUCAGUGAUGAGGGUUUGCUGGGGCUCACAAAUGUCUCUCCUCAGUGAGGACACCUUUUUGAAU
RNAcentral lists this unclassified non-coding RNA (218 nucleotides) under uncultured Thelephoraceae. RNAcentral describes it as "sequence contains ITS2". Lineage: Eukaryota; Fungi; Basidiomycota; Agaricomycetes; Thelephorales; Thelephoraceae. The record is from RNAcentral.